UUCUGGCUGUGCCGGGUGGAGAUUAUAACAGAACAUGACCAAGAUGUUCAAAUGUUCAUAAAUGACCAGCAUGGUCGUAUAAUAAUAAGGCAGAACAGUUGAAACUGGAGCAGCAGCACGGUCAGGUGGACUGGGGACAGCAAGGAGUCAUCAUGUCAGAUAGUCCUGGGGCAUGGUCCUAGGGCUCAGGUCAGUUGAAACUGGAGCAGCAGCAUGGCCAGGUGGACUGGGGACAGCAAGGAGUCAUCAUGUCAGAUAGUCCUGGGGCACGGUCCUAUGGCUCAGGUCCUCUGAGAGAGAGAGAGAGAAAGAGAGAAUUUACAUUUACAAUUAGAAUCCUUCCCCCUAUUUAGCAAUUAGAAUCCUUCCCCCUAUUUAGCAUUUAGAAUCCUUCCCCCUAUUUAGCAUUUAGAAUCCUUCCCCCUAUUUACAUUUAGAAUCCUUCCCCCUAUUUAGCAUUUAGAAUCCUUC
Oncorhynchus tshawytscha (Chinook salmon) is the source of this 471-nucleotide long non-coding RNA. The record is from Ensembl. NCBI's taxonomy places the organism in Eukaryota, Metazoa, Chordata, Actinopteri, Salmoniformes, Salmonidae.